CAGCCGCCGCGGGAAUACGGAGGAUCCAAGCGUUAUCCGGAAUCAUUGGGUUUAAAGGGUCCGUAGGCGGUCUUGUAAGUCAGUGGUGAAAGCCCAUCGCUCAACGGUGGAACGGCCAUUGAUACUGCAGGACUUGAAUUAUUGGGAAGUAACUAGAAUAUGUAGUGUAGCGGUGAAAUGCUUAGAGAUUACAUGGAAUACCAAUUGCGAAGGCAGGUUACUACCAAUCGAUUGACGCUGAUGGACGAAAGCGUGGGUAGCGAACAGGAUUAGAUACCCGCGUAGUCCCUGUCUCUUAUAC
This 301-nucleotide ribosomal RNA is filed under the name uncultured bacterium. Its description in RNAcentral is "partial 16S ribosomal RNA". It matches the Rfam family "Bacterial small subunit ribosomal RNA", at positions 509 to 807 of the family's 1533-position model. The record is from RNAcentral.